CGCUAGCGGCAGGCUUAACACAUGCAAGUCAGGGGCAGCAUGAGACGGAGAUUCGUCGAAGUCUUGAUGGCGACCGGCGCAAGGGUGCGUAACGCGUGAGCAACUUGCCCGUUUCAGGGGGAUAACAGUUAGAAAUGACUGCUAAUACCGCAUAAGCGCACAGUACCGCAUGGUACGGUGUGAAAAACUCCGGUGGUAUGAGAUGGACCCGCGUCUGAUUAGCUAGUUGGUGGGGUAACGGCCUACCAAGGCGACGAUCAGUAGCCGGCCUGAGAGGAAGGUCCCCCACACUGGAACUGAGACACGGUCCAGACUCCUACGGGAGGCAGCAGUGAGGAAUAUUGGACAAUGGAUGGAAAUCUGAUCCAGCCAUGCCGCGUGAAGGAAUACGGUCCUAUGGAUUUUAAACUUCUUUUGUAUGGGAGCAAUAAGGUGUACGCGUACAUCGAUGAGAGUACCAUACGAAUAAGCAUCGGCUAACUCCGUG
RNAcentral lists this ribosomal RNA (487 nucleotides) under uncultured bacterium. Its description in RNAcentral is "bacterial SSU rRNA". It matches the Rfam family "Bacterial small subunit ribosomal RNA", at positions 34 to 507 of the family's 1533-position model. The record is from RNAcentral.